Acanthosepion pharaonis is the source of this 110-nucleotide non-coding RNA. NCBI's taxonomy places the organism in Eukaryota, Metazoa, Mollusca, Cephalopoda, Sepiida, Sepiidae. The record is from the annotation of a GenBank genome assembly.
CAGCUAUAUCAUGUUUAAACACUGAUUCUUGUAUGAUCACGGAAGUUAAGCAACAUCGAACCUAGUCAGUACCUAGAUGGGUGAUCGCUUAGGAAUACCAGGUGCUGUAA